Molecule: ribosomal RNA, 465 nt
Filed under: uncultured bacterium
Lineage: Bacteria
Description: partial 16S ribosomal RNA
Rfam family: Bacterial small subunit ribosomal RNA
Source: RNAcentral
GACGAACGCUGGCGGCGUGCUUAACACAUGCAAGUCGAACGGAAAGGCCCCUUUGGGGGUACUCGAGUGGCGCACGGGUGAGUAACACGUGAGUAACCUGCCCUUGACUUCGGGAUAACUUCAGGAAACUGGGGCUAAUACCGGAUAGGAAUCCUUGCUGCAUGGUGGGGGUUGGAAAGCUUCGGCGGUUUUGGAUGGACUCGCGGCGUAUCAGCUUGUUGGUGGGGGAGUGGCCUACCAAGGCUUUGACGGGUAGCCGGCCUGAGAGGGCGACCGGCCACCUUGGGACGGAGAUACGGCCAAGACUCCUACGGGAGGCAGCAGUGGGGAAUAUUACACGAUGGGCGGAAGCCUGAUGCAGCAACGCCGCGGGCGGGAUGACGGCCUUCGGGUUGUAAACCGCUUUCAGCAGGGGCGAAGCUUGUGGUGACGGUACCUGCAGAAGAAGCACCGGCUAACUACGUG